UACAGAGGGUGCUAGCGUUGUUCGGAAUCAUUGGGCGUAAAGGGCGCGUAGGCGGCUUAUCAAGUCAGGGGUGAAAUCCGGCAGCUCAACUGUCGAAGUGCCUUUGAUACUGAUGAGCUAGAGGGAGAUAGGGGUAUGCGGAACUUCCGGUGGAGCGGUGAAAUGCGUUGAUAUCGGAAGGAACGCCGGUGGCGAAAGCGGCGUACUGGAUCUCUUCUGACGCUGAGGCGCGAAAGCUAGGGGAGCAAACGGG
Molecule: ribosomal RNA, 253 nt
Filed under: uncultured bacterium
Lineage: Bacteria
Description: partial 16S ribosomal RNA
Rfam family: Bacterial small subunit ribosomal RNA
Source: RNAcentral